CUGCAAGGAUGCCUCAGUACGGCGAGUGAAGCGGCAAAAGCUCAAAUUUUAAAGCUGACAUCUUCGGUGUCCGCGUUGUAAUUUUGUGAGGCAUCUCCGGGUAGGGCGCCGGCCUAAGUUCCUUGGAACAGGACGUCACAGAGGGUGAGAAUCCCGUGCUUGGCUGGCUGUCCCCGUCCAUGUGAGGUGUCUUCGACGAGUCGAGUUGUUUGGGAAUGCAGCUCAAAAUGGGUGGUAAAUUUCAUCUAAAGCUAAAUAUUGGUGGGAGACCGAUAGCGCACAAGUAGAGUGAUCGAAAGAUGAAAAGCACUUUGAAAAUAGAGUUAAAAAGUACGUGAAAUUGUUGAAAGGGAAGCGCUUGAGAUCAGACUUCGGUAAGGGGUGAUCAGCCGUCCUUCUGGGCGGUGCACUUGCCCCCCUCCGGGCCAGCAUCGGUUGAGGCGGCGGGAUAAAGGUCCCGGGAAUGUGGCUCCUUCACGGGAGUGUUAUAGCCCGGGUGAAUGCCGCCAGCUUCGACCGAGGACCGCACCCGCAAGGGUUAGGAUGCUUGGCAUAAUGGUCUUCAGCGACCCGUCUUGAACCACGGGACCCA
Molecule: ribosomal RNA, 592 nt
Filed under: Morchella sp.
Lineage: Eukaryota; Fungi; Ascomycota; Pezizomycetes; Pezizales; Morchellaceae
Description: partial large subunit ribosomal RNA
Rfam family: Eukaryotic large subunit ribosomal RNA
Source: RNAcentral